This 261-nucleotide ribosomal RNA is filed under the name Triticum aestivum (bread wheat). RNAcentral's name for it is "partial small subunit ribosomal RNA". The record is from RNAcentral. Lineage: Eukaryota; Viridiplantae; Streptophyta; Magnoliopsida; Poales; Poaceae.
AUGAGGGGAAGCGCGAGGUCUCUAGUUGAAACCGCAACCAGACAAAUCAAACCUGGCAAUGGACUCGCAAGGGUGAUGACGAUUACCACUCCCAAGAAGCACGAGAAGGAGAUCAGCCCUACUGAAUCUGCCCUCCCAAAGGAUGAAAACGUCGAGCCCCUCGUCGCUUUCAGCCGGCCGCCUCCUUUGCCACCGGUUCUAGGCCCCUUGAUCGCGCUCUCGCUUUUUCAGACUUCUUCUAGUGAUGAGGACAGCAAAUGA